Molecule: ribosomal RNA, 420 nt
Filed under: Triticum aestivum (bread wheat)
Lineage: Eukaryota; Viridiplantae; Streptophyta; Magnoliopsida; Poales; Poaceae
Description: partial small subunit ribosomal RNA
Source: RNAcentral
AUGUCAGAUAUUGUACACAGUCAUGCUGAACAUGUAGAGAAAAAGAGAAGAGUUUUGCGCGACAAUACAAUGUCAUGCAGACAUUGCUCCAUGGUGGGUUCAAUGGCAAACCCUCUCCACCCCUCUCCAGAUUGUAAUCCAGAGAAAGAUAUCUGUUCUGAGGCAUAUUCAGACGCCGCUGACCACUCCUAUUUACCCUCCAAGCCAUUUGGGUGGGAGAUGGAAAAAUCUGGAGUGAAAACAAGGCCUUCAGAGCAGACAGUGCUACCUGUCGAAGCAGAUCUCUUGUUGGGUCCCGAUAGCUCCUCAGAGAUUGAUUUAGAGACAGAUGACCAGUCCUAUUCCCCCACUGAGGUGUAUGCUCUAACUUGGCACGGUUAUACUGCUCAUAUUAUGCAUAUGGUGUCUUGCAUUGCAUAG